UACGUAGGGUGCGAGCGUUGCCCGGAAUUACUGGGCGUAAAGAGCUCGUAGGUGGUUUGUCGCGUUGUUCGUGAAAACCUGAGGCUUAACCUUGGGCGUGCGGGCGAUACGGGCAGACUGGAGUACUGCAGGGGAGACUGGAAUUCCUGGUGUAGCGGUGGAAUGCGCAGAUAUCAGGAGGAACACCGGUGGCGAAGGCGGGUCUCUGGGCAGUAACUGACGCUGAGGAGCGAAAGCGUGGGGAGCGAACAGG
RNAcentral lists this ribosomal RNA (253 nucleotides) under uncultured bacterium. RNAcentral's name for it is "partial 16S ribosomal RNA". It matches the Rfam family "Bacterial small subunit ribosomal RNA", at positions 524 to 776 of the family's 1533-position model. The record is from RNAcentral.